GGGGCAGAGCGCUGCUGACUUGCAAAGCCAGCAUUGUCCACCAGAUGGAGACAAAACACUCCAGUGAAAAGGGCUCCACACAAACCCCGAUUUCAAUGCCAACUCCCAACUUACGUAAUAGACCAAUCGGGACAAAAAUGUAGCAAGAGCCAAGCAUGCGCACCUGUAAUCCCAGAAUUUAGGAGGUUGAGGCAGAAGGAUUGCCAGUUUUAGUCUAGCCGGGACUACACAGCAAGACCCUAUCCAAAAAAGGAAACAGUAAGUGGAGAUGGCCAAAGAGAUGUAGGUGAAAGCCACUCCAAAAGCCUCUGCUCAAGAACUUUUGCUCCCGUACCCUCCCUCCUGUCCUCUGCCCCAUCCUCCCGAGGUGCAGCAGCUGUCGCUGUCCCUGAGAUGACAAGUGUAAGAACAAAGACCACUAAGGCAGGCAGAGAGGCUCAGGGGUCCCUUCUUGGUGACCACUCUGCGCAGUGACUAUGUCUGUGGGGAUUAUGGAGGUGUGAACUUGGUUUUGAGGUAUGAGAGCCACUGCUGGGCAGCCUUCUGUUUGCGGAUAAAAUUAUCCCUACGCAAUCCAUCACCGAUGUUAGCACGUUGGGUUGCCUCCGUGCAGGGCGGUGUGCAUGCAGAGUGAGGAAUGUGUUGUUGCGAAGCGCCUACCUGGGACCACAGGAAACAGGAGGUCCCAGGAAACAGGAGGCAGAGCCAUCGAGGGUCUGGGCUGCGCAUGCGUCAGCACAGGUGGCGACCUCCCUAAGAGAGGCGUGCCUUCCAGAAGCAGCCAGUCCUGCAUGGUACAUCUCCCCCACCCCGCAAGCUAACAGAUGGAAAGAAACUACACAUUUCAACCCCUGAUGGAAACCAGACCUUUAAGUUUAUGGUAAGCCAACAGGAGGUGACCAGGACUGGGGAGGUGUGGCCCAGAGGGUGGGACACACACAUAUCAUAUACACCACACACAUAAUUAUACACACACACACACACACAGCCACCCAGUAUUGCCCAACCGUGAACCACAUGGAACUUCUAAACCCGGGAUGACAGAUGGCCUUCUCACCUGGCUCUCUGCUCCUGUGUCUGCGGCUGAGGACUCUGGUGUCUCAGGGCACAUGCGCAGGUAUUCGGGACGCCCACUACACCGUGUCGACCUCUACCAGCGCAGCAAAUGUCCGGUAACUCUGCUUCACUUUGACACCUCGGCUCAAUCUUCCUCUCUCUCCUGUGUGUUCACCUAAACUGCUGCUGCCAACCUCAGGUAGGAUCCAGGUCAAGUUCCACUGACCGUUGCUGUGACCAAAUGCACAGACAGCUGAGGACGGGGAGGCAUCUACCUCAAGAGCAGCCUACACUGGGUGCAGUGCAGUGAUACAUGUCACCCCAGCACACAGUGUCCUCCCAGACACUAACGCUGGAAAACUGAGGUUCAUCACCCCAGCACACAGUGUCCUCCCAGACACUAACACUGGAAAACUGAGGUUCAUCACCCCAGCACACAGUGUCCUCCCAGACACUAACGCUGGAAAACUGAGGUUCAUCACCCCAGCACACAGUGUCCUCCCAGACACUAACGCUGGAAAACUGAGGGUCAUCACCCCAGCACACAGUGUCCUCCCAGACACUAACGCUGGAAAACUGAGGGUCAUCAGGCCACAAUUUCCCAUCUUACCUACUUACCUACUUGAGGGUCUUUCAACCUUUCCUCCUCCAUCUCCUCCCCCUCCUCCUCCUCCUCUCCUUCAGGCUGCCAGCAUCUUCUGCUUGGGCCCUGCAUUGCUCUCUGAUGCCAGGCUUUGUACACUUCCCUGACUCUGCCCGCUCCAUGCAGCCACUAGACAACUUUAUCUAAAACCUCCACCUGACCGUGAGGCUCCCCACACCACCACGGUCUCAUGUAGCUGAAGCUACCUGGAACCCACCCUGCGGCUGAGGCUAGCCUUAACUAUUGAUCCUCCUGCAUCUGCCUCUCACCCGCUACGACACCAUGCCUGACUCACCAUGUGGCUUUUUUGCCUGGAGACUUUCUAGAGGUUUUUCAUUUUAUGUUAAUGAGUCAACCCUAUUUAAAAUUUUUAAAGAUUUAAGUGUGCAAGCGUUUGCCUGCAUGCAUGUAUGUGUACCACAUGCAUGUUGUGGUGGCAGAUCCCUGGGAUUGGAAUUAUAGAUGGUUGUGGACACCAUGUAGAUGCUGGGAACCAAACCCAGUUCCUCUGCAAGAGCAGUAAGUGCUCCUAACAGUUGAGCCGUCUCUCCAGGCCUAACCCCAUUUUUUAAAAAAACUAAUAAAUUGCAUUUGGAGAGGACAGCUUUAGGUUUACAGCAAAACUGAGCCAUAAGGAGAAAUUCUCCGAAGUUCUCCACCCCCUCCAUUGUGAAGGACAGCUCCAAAGUUCUCCAUCCCCCUUCAUUGUGAAGGACAGCUCCAAAGUUCUCCAUCCCCUCCAUUGUGAAGGAGAGCUCCAAAGUUCUCGGCUCUCCUUCACUGCAUUGGCGUGCUCCCUCCAUUAUUCAUUUGGUGCUUGACGUUGAACACAAGGACUGGUGUGGUAAACAUCCUUCCACUGAGCUGCAGCCCGCCCCCAGUACUGGCGUUUUCCUCCUUUUCUUCUUCCAUCCCUUGCAUUCCCACCUUUACUUGCAUACCACAUGUAUCCUAUUACCCUUCUCACUCCCCCUUAAAGCCUUUGUUCUCCUUUCAUGGGCCCCUUUCUAGUUUCUACUCACACUUCCACAUAAAUACACCAACACACAAAUUAGAAGUUAGGAUUAUGAGCCGGGCGGUGGUGGCGCAUGCCUUUAAUCCCAGCACUCGGGAGGCAGAGCCAGCCAAGGCCCAUUUCCUCUACCUGAGGCUGAAAGUGUAGAACUGUUUGUGACAUUCCUCAUCUAUAUCUCAGCACCUGGUGACCUGAGUUUGAUCCCCAGGACCCAUAUGGUAGAAGGAAAGAAUUGGUUCCUACAUAUGCAGGCCAUGGUACACAUGUACCACAUACACACACACACCACACUAAGGAAAACAUCCUGUGUCAUUCUGCUGUGGUCAGGACUGAUGAACUCUCUUCCCUUUCUGGUAUUAAUGACUUGCAUCUUUUUUUUCUUGGUUAACCAGGAGAGAGGGCUGCUUUAUCUUUUCAGAGAGCCCGAAUUUCUCUAUCACUUUCCUGUUUCCUGUGUCAUCGAUUUUCGCUUUUCUUUUCUUUUGCUGGCUUUGGGCUUACAUUCCGAUCGGUUGGUUUGGUUGUUUUUGUUCGUUUGUAGACAGGAUUUUAUGGAGCCCUGGCAGGUCUCAAACAUGCUAUGUAGAUGAGUGCUGAGAUAACAGGCCUGUGCCACCGUGUCCAGUUAGUGUCACAGUGGGGAUCAAACCCCUGGUGGCUCUGGGCAUACUAAGCAAGGCUUACAUCCUUAGCCUUCUCUCCUAUACUCCUCCCCCCUCCCCAAGUGCAUGCUGGGACUGCAGGCCCCUGUAUGGCCAGGCUUCUGUUUUCUUGCAUGUGCUGUUCAGUGGUGCAGAUCCCUCCCUACCUCUGUUUUUGGUGUACCAAACAAAUUGCAAUAAACUGUAUUUUCAUUCAGUUUAAAAUAUUCUGUGGUAAUAUUGUUUGUGCUUUAACAAAUAAAUCUUGCUU
This is a long non-coding RNA of Peromyscus californicus insignis, 3626 nucleotides long. RefSeq lists it as uncharacterized. NCBI's taxonomy places the organism in Eukaryota, Metazoa, Chordata, Mammalia, Rodentia, Cricetidae. The record is from RefSeq and is a predicted model, not a curated record. The transcript is spliced from 3 exons.